Molecule: ribosomal RNA, 450 nt
Filed under: Frankliniella sp. KY-2004
Lineage: Eukaryota; Metazoa; Arthropoda; Insecta; Thysanoptera; Thripidae
Description: partial 16S ribosomal RNA
Source: RNAcentral
UUUCAAGAAUUUAUUAGAAAUAAGACCUGCUCAGUGAAAAUUAAACAGCAAUUAUAAAGUAGCAUAAUAAUUUGUCUUUUAAUUGAAGACUAGAAUGAAAGGAUAAACGAAAAUUCAUCUUUUUUAUUUUUUUUAAAAGAAUCUAACAUUUAAGUAAAAAGGCUUAAAUAAAUUUAAAAGACGAUAAGACCCUAUAGAACUUAAUAACAUAAAAAAAAAUAAAAUAAAAAAAUUUUACUGGGGAAGUAAAAGAAUAAAAAUUUUUUUAAAAAUUAACUCUUAAAAAGAACAAAAAAACCUUUUAAGAAAGUAAAAAGUUACCUUAGGGAUAACAGAGUAAAAAUUUUUUAGAGAUCAAAUCAAAAAAAUUAUAUACUACCUCGAUGUUGAAUUAAGGAAUAACUUAAUAGAAAAAAAUUAAGUAUAAGGUCUGUUCGACCUUUAAAACCU